Ixodes scapularis (black-legged tick) is the source of this 625-nucleotide long non-coding RNA. RefSeq lists it as uncharacterized. NCBI's taxonomy places the organism in Eukaryota, Metazoa, Arthropoda, Arachnida, Ixodida, Ixodidae. The record is from RefSeq and is a predicted model, not a curated record. The transcript has 2 exons.
GGCCUGAGCGCGGCCGAUCCGGCUUGUAUUUCCGCACCCCAUACUUGCCGAGAAAACAACUAGGAACCAGUCAUAUAACGCAUUCUGCGUUAAAGCCAUCACACGGUGUGCAUCGAACACGGGGUGGAAUGUUGGAAGGUUGCACGAGUAAAAGGAGGCCAUGUAAGUCCACUGUUUUGUCUGCGAUUUUAAUUGGUCUAUAAUGUACACAUAGUAAACAGCGCUAAAACCACUCACGCAAGGAAGGGCACUGAGCAGUCUAAAAGAGGCGGAAAGUUUCUUUUUCUUUAGAUCAGUGUCGACUUCGAGUGCACAGGGUUUUCCGUUGAUGGACAGGCAUACUUGAAAGGUCUUAAAAUCUAACAUACAAUAACAAGUCACUGUUUUUCUACUGCUAGAGAACCUCAUAUUCACGCCAACAAGUGUUGGCCAAGUCAGUAAUCAAGGAAGGAAAAAAAAACGUUUGCAAUAAAUACUGCUCCAGAAACAAGAAAAAAAAAUAUGAAGGAUUCCACAGAAUACUUUGUGUCGCAACUCCACCGGUCAGUUAGAGAAAACAUGCAAACUUGAAGGGGAAAGAAGAAAAAAAAAAUGGUCUGUGGAAUAUGGAAGAUCCCGGCGAAAA